CCUGUCGUAGGAGAGAUGACGC
RNAcentral lists this microRNA (22 nucleotides) under Glycine max (soybean). RNAcentral's name for it is "gma-miR5225". Lineage: Eukaryota; Viridiplantae; Streptophyta; Magnoliopsida; Fabales; Fabaceae. The record is from miRBase by way of RNAcentral.